This 435-nucleotide ribosomal RNA is filed under the name uncultured bacterium. Its description in RNAcentral is "bacterial SSU rRNA". It matches the Rfam family "Bacterial small subunit ribosomal RNA", at positions 355 to 796 of the family's 1533-position model. The record is from RNAcentral.
UCGAGGAUCUUCGGCAAUGGGCGCAAGCCUGACCGAGCGACGCCGCGUGUGCGAUGAAGGCCUUCGGGUUGUAAAGCACUGUCGAGGGGGAUAAAAGCCCGCAAGGGUCUGAUAGAUCCCUGGAGGAAGCACGGGCUAAGUUCGUGCCAGCAGCCGCGGUAAGACGAACCGUGCGAACGUUGUUCGGAAUCACUGGGCUUAAAGGGCGCGUAGGCGGUUUGCCAAGUCAGGGGUGAAAUCCUGCAGCUCAACUGUAGAAGUGCCUUUGAUACUGGCGAACUCGAGGGAGGUAGGGGUGCGUGGAACUUCUGGUGGAGCGGUGAAAUGCGUUGAUAUCAGAAGGAACGCCGGUGGCGAAAGCGACGCACUGGACCUUUUCUAACGCUGAGGCGCGAAAGCUAGGGGAGCAAACGGGAUUAGAUACCCCCGUAGUCC